Molecule: ribosomal RNA, 497 nt
Filed under: uncultured bacterium
Lineage: Bacteria
Description: partial 16S ribosomal RNA
Rfam family: Bacterial small subunit ribosomal RNA
Source: RNAcentral
GAUGAACGCUGGCGGCGUGCCUAAUACAUGCAAGUCGAGCGAACAGAUGAGGAGCUUGCUCCUCUGACGUUAGCGGCGGACGGGUGAGUAACACGUGGAUAACCUACCUAUAAGACUGGGAUAACUUCGGGAAACCGGAGCUAAUACUGGAUAAUAUAUUGAACCGCAUGGUUCAAUAGUGAAUGACGGUUUUGCUGUCUCUUAUAGAUGGAUCCGCGCCGCAUUAGCUAGUUGGUAAGGUAACGGCUUACCAAGGCAACGAUGCGUAGCCGACCUGAGAGGGUGAUCGGCCACACUGGAACUGAGACACGGUCCAGACUCCUACGGGAGGCAGCAGUAGGGAAUCUUCCGCAAUGGGCGAAAGCCUGACGGAGCAACGCCGCGUGAGUGAUGAAGGUCUUCGGGUCGUAAAACUCUGUUAUUAGGGAAGAACAAAUGUGUAAGUAACUAUGCACGUCUUGACGGUACCUAAUCAGAAAGCCACGGCUAACUUCGUG